Molecule: non-coding RNA, 328 nt
Filed under: Cavernulicola chilensis
Lineage: Eukaryota; Rhodophyta; Bangiophyceae; Cavernulicolales; Cavernulicolaceae
Source: RNAcentral
GGGGCUGUAUGGUAUUCGACAUUACAAUUCAGGAAUGUGACAGUAAUAUAAACUAUAUUACACAAAUCUAUGUUUAAUUUAACAAUUAAAUGCUAACAAUAUUGUACCAUUACCUCAGAAAGCUAUUAUCGUAUAAAUAAAUACUUUAUAGACAGUAGACUUUUUGAUUUCAUAUAAUAAUUAAUUUUAUAAGUUAUAUGAAAAAGAACAUGUAAAAAUGCUCUUAUUUAAGCUAAAAUAGGAUAAGAUACAAAGCCAAAUUAUUUCCCAUAAGGUUGUCAUAAUAUAUAAAUUGUAAUGCACGUGGGUUCAAUUCCCACCAGCUCCA